UACAGAGGUCCCAAGCGUUGUUCGGAUUCACUGGGCGUAAAGGGUGCGUAGGCGGUCGGGUAAGUCUGACGUGAAAUCUUCAAGCUCAACUUGGAAACUGCGUCGGAUACUAUUCGGCUAGAGGAAUGGAGGGGAGACUGGAAUACUUGGUGUAGCAGUGAAAUGCGUAGAUAUCAAGUGGAACACCAGUGGCGAAGGCGAGUCCCUGGAAAAUACCUGACACUGAGGCACGAAAGCUAGGGGAGCAAACAGG
RNAcentral lists this ribosomal RNA (253 nucleotides) under uncultured bacterium. Its description in RNAcentral is "partial 16S ribosomal RNA". It matches the Rfam family "Bacterial small subunit ribosomal RNA", at positions 524 to 776 of the family's 1533-position model. The record is from RNAcentral.